Molecule: ribosomal RNA, 383 nt
Filed under: uncultured bacterium
Lineage: Bacteria
Description: partial 16S ribosomal RNA
Rfam family: Bacterial small subunit ribosomal RNA
Source: RNAcentral
AUACACAUCUCCGAGCGGAGCGGCGGACGGGUGGGUAAUGCCUAGGAAUCUGCCUGGUAGUGGGGGAUAACUUCUGGAAACGGGCGCUAAUACCGCAUACUAUCAGAUGAGCCUACGUCGGAUUAGCUAGUUGGUGGGGUAAAGGCCUACCAAGGCGACGAUCCGUAACUGGGCUGAGAGGAUGAUCAGUCACACUGGAACUGAGACACGGUCCAGACUCCUACGGGAGGCAGCAGUGGGGAAUAUUGGACAAUGGGCGCAAGCCUGAUCCAGCCAUGCCGCGUGUGUGAAGAAGGUCUUCGGAUUGUAAAGCACUUUAAGUUGGGAGGCGUUACCAACAGAAUAAGCACCGGCUAACUUCGUGCCAGCAGCCGCGGUAAUUC